AUUGAACGCUGGCGGCAGGCCUAACACAUGCAAGUCGAGCGAAUGAGGGGAGCUUGCUCCCUGAUUUAGCGGCGGACGGGUGAGUAAUGUAUAGGGAGCUGCCCGAUAGAGGGGGAUACCAGUUGGAAACGACUGUUAAUACCGCAUAAUGUCUACGGACCAAAGUGUGGGACCUUCGGGCCACAUGCUAUCGGAUGCACCUAUAUGGGAUUAGCUAGUUGGUGGGGUAACGGCUCACCAAGGCAACGAUCCCUAGCUGGUUUGAGAGGAUGAUCAGCCACACUGGAACUGAGACACGGUCCAG
Molecule: ribosomal RNA, 304 nt
Filed under: uncultured bacterium
Lineage: Bacteria
Description: bacterial SSU rRNA
Rfam family: Bacterial small subunit ribosomal RNA
Source: RNAcentral